GAUGAACGCUGACAGAAUGCUUAACACAUGCAAGUCUACUUGAUCCUUCGGGUGAUGGUGGCGGACGGGUGAGUAACGCGUAAAGAACCUGCCUUGCAGUCUGGGACAACGUCUGGAAACGGACGCUAAUACCGGAUAUUAUGAUUGAAUCGCAUGAUUUAAUUAUGAAAGCUAUAUGCGCUGCGAGAGAGCUUUGCGUCCCAUUAGUUAGUUGGUGAGGUAACGGCUCACCAAGACGAUGAUGGGUAGCCGGCCUGAGAGGGUGAUCGGCCACAUUGGGACUGAGACACGGCCCAG
This 297-nucleotide ribosomal RNA is filed under the name uncultured bacterium. RNAcentral's name for it is "partial 16S ribosomal RNA". It matches the Rfam family "Bacterial small subunit ribosomal RNA", at positions 28 to 334 of the family's 1533-position model. The record is from RNAcentral.